This 255-nucleotide ribosomal RNA is filed under the name uncultured bacterium. Its description in RNAcentral is "partial 16S ribosomal RNA". It matches the Rfam family "Bacterial small subunit ribosomal RNA", at positions 524 to 776 of the family's 1533-position model. The record is from RNAcentral.
UACGAAGGGGGGCUAGCGUUGCUCGGAAUCACUGGGCGUAAAGCGCACGUAGGCGGAUCUUUAAGUCAGGGGUGAAAUCCCAAGGCUCAACCUUGGAACUGCCUUUGAUACUGGGGGAUCUCGAGUCCGGAAGAGGUGAGUGGAACUGCGAGUGUAGAGGUGAAAUUCGUAGAUAUUCGCAAGAACACCAGUGGCGAAGGCGGCUCACUGGUCCGGUACUGACGCUGAGGUGCGAAAGCGUGGGGAGCAAACAGG